UGAUUGCUAAUUUCUUACAAGAUAAUGAGAUAUUUGUCUUUCAUAUUUUAAUAAACUUUUCAAUACGGUAUUUAAAGUUUUUAAAUGUAAACGGAUCUCUUAUAUUUUGUUUUUGUCUUUUGAAGAAGUACUUAAACCUAAAUAGUGUUAAAGUAUAAAGUGGGACUACUAAAAUACUACCAUGAGACACUUUUUUAAAAAUGAUCAAUCAAGUCAAAUCUGGGAUAUGGUAACAAUUUUACCAUUGUAUUUCUAAAGCUAUAGAAAUAUAUUUUUUUCCUUCUUUUCUAUCAUAUCAAUUAUCAAAUAAAUUGAUUGGUAUAAUAUUUAUAAUCCUUUAAAAUUAUAAAGAUAUAUAGGGUAUUAAAAUUUAUGUAAAAUUAUAAAGAUAUAUUAGGGUAUUACAUUACAAAUAUAGUUAUUUUACAAUUUUUGUUUCAAAGAAUCUUCAAACCCCUAAUUCUAACUCUAUUCCAUUUUUAUCUCCUAGGGAGAAUCCCAACACCACCACCUUCAUUGCAAUGGUAUGGAGUGUCAAACAAUAACUUAAUUGGAGAAAUCCCUUCCUCAAUAUGCAAUUUGACUUCUCUUAUGGGUUUCUUUCUAUCUGAGAAUAAUUUAGAAGGAACAAUUCCAGAGUGUUUUAGAAACUUGAGUUCUUCUCUCUUGCAAUUUGAUCUACGGUAUAAUAAUUUUCAUGGUCAAAUAUCAGAAAUUUUUGCUAAAGGUUGCAUGUUGAAAGGUUUCCGCAUCAACAACAAUGAAUUAGAAGGGUCACUACCACAAUCUUUGAGUAAUUGCAAAGAUUUAAUCCUUCUUGAUGUUGGAAACAACAAUUUGAAUGACACUUUCCCAAAUUGGUUAGGAAAUUUGGAUCAGUUACAAGUUCUUAUCUUAAGGUCAAAUAGAUUUUACGGCCAAGUGGAUAGCUUUGAUGUUAAAAUUUCCUUAACUCAUUUGCGUAUCGUUGAUCUUUCUCAUAAUAACUUCAGUGGUUAUUUACCUACCCUUGUUUUUGAACAUUUGCAUGCCAUUAGAGAAGGGUAUGAAAAGAAAGUUGAACCAAAGAACAUGCAAGAAGGAUUUGGUGAUGAACUUAUGGUGAAUUAUGCUUUUGGUUUAUCUUUUACAACAAAAGGGUUGGAAACAAAGUUUCAAGAACUAUUAUCCAUUUGGACGAUUAUUGACCUUUCUAGUAAUCAAUUCUCGGGAGAAAUUCCAAAAAUACUGGGUGAGCUUCAUUUACUUAUUGUCCUAAACCUCUCCCAUAACUGUUUAAUAGGUCCUAUCCCAUUAUCUUUAGGUGAUCUGUCAGAGCUUGAAUCAUUAGAUCUCUCGUCAAACAAGCUCGAAGGAAGAAUUCCAACACAGUUAAAAAAUCUUGGAUUCUUAGAGGUGUUAAACCUUUCUCAAAAUAAUCUCAAGGGUCCCAUUCCUGAAGGCAAACAAUUUGAUACUUUCACUAAUGAUUCCUACAUGGGAAAUUUGGAUUUAUGUGGUUUGCCAUUAUCAAAAAGCUGUGAUAUUGAUGAGGAAACUCCAGCCAAAUUUGAUAAUGAUGAUGGUGAUGAAUUGAAUUGGAAAUUUUCAAUAGUGAUCGGGUAUGGAUGUGGGUUAGUGCUGGGAAUGAGCACGGCAUACAUUGUAUUCACGACUGGAAAACCAUGGUGGUUGAUUAGGAUCGUCGAGCAAGUUCGACAAAUAUUUGAAAAAAGGUAGAGAAGCCAACACUUAGGCGAGUUCAACAAGUUGCAAACAGAACAGAAAACUUUAUUGCUUGGUGGUAUGCAGACCUUUUUCUGUAGUUGUUUAAUAAACAUUUUGUGUGGGUGCUUGAUUGUUUGUUAUGUUGUUUGUAUUAUGUUUUCUUAGGGCCUCUUUCAUGGAAAUGUUCCCUGAUGUGUUUAUGAUAAGUGCACUGGUUUGUAGAGACUGUCUUUAUGGGAACCUAUCUUUUAAAUAAAAUUGAAAUAAGGAAUAGAUGGUCCAAGAAUGGUUAAUUUAUUCCAAAGAGUUUGUGAAGAAUCAAGGGAGGUAAAAUAAUGCAAAAUUAUAUGUUGAAUACUUUAGAAUUGAAUAUGGAUCAUGAUUUUAAUUGAACAAUACAUGCAUUCUUUGUUUUUAACCUGAAUCAGAUUUGUGAGAUAUAUAUUUUGUGAGUGAUAAACAUAUUAAUUUACAUGAUUCUUGUGUUUAAUUUGGCUUAUUUUUAAAUUAAUCCCUGCUUAAUUGGUGUUUUACUAUUUAAUCUUGUCAGGGAUGCAAUUGGUCAAAAACGAGCAAAAAGGGGCCAAAUUGAAAGACAAAUAGUUGAGUUGGGGCAAAUCAUAAAGAUGGGAAAGCCAAGGAUUUAACAUUGAUUUUGACUUUGUAAAAAGCUAAAAAUAGAAGAUAUUAUUUUAUUUUAUUUAGUUUUAUUAUUUAUUUUUAUUUUAUUUUAUUAAUUUAGGAUUAGACUAUUUUUAGUAAACCCCAUGUAUAUAAAUAGGGGCUUUUAGUUAUUAGAAAAAUCAUCCAUUGUCUUUGUAUUCCUACUUCUACUUGGAAUAGAAUUACUCUCUCUCUUGUAUUUCUUUUUCAAUUUAGAGUUGGAAUAUCAUUUUUUUCUCUUCAAUUUGACGUUACAUUUUGUAGCCUUGUCUCCAUUUUUUUUGUUUCUUUUCCAUAAUUGGGUCGAUUACUUUCCAAGUCCCCUCCAUUCAUUUCUUCACCAUAAUCAUCAAACCUCUUUCCAUGCUCAUAAAGCAUGAACAAUUUCAUGCUUAACUAAAUUCUAUCUUAGCUUUAGGUUGGUGUUCUUUCUGAUCGAGAAUUGUGAGAUUCGUGCUUGCACCUAAAAUCUUUCCAAUCGGUAUUCAUCUUUUUCCUAAGUAUCGGGAUUGACAACUCAUCCCUUAAGGAUAAUUCAAUUUCAAAUCAAAAAGAGCUCGUUGGGUUGGAGUCGUGUUUUCUGACAGUUGGAGAAACGAAUCGGCCGUGCUGUAUUUGGAUCUCCGAGAAAAAAUUGAGGAAGAGGUGAUCGAGUUUAAACGACCCACGCGGUUGAGGCCGUUAAUUCAAGUUGGGUUCUUCAGAAUGCAAGGCUACUAAAAUCUUGAAUCGGGGACACAUGUAUCUUGGUUAGACUUUCGGUUUAACACAUGUAUCUUGAGUCGGGUUUAACACGUGCUGUAUUUGUUAGUUUUAAUUUGUCAAAACUAGAAAUGUUCAUCUUGAACUUGGAAAUCUUUCAAAUUUGAUUUGAAUAUAUUUGGAUAAAAAUUAUCUUUCACUUUCAUCCAUUUCUCAAUAUUGAAUAUGUACAGCCCAAUUUUGGGCCCAAACAUUAAAGUCAACCCAUUAAACUCACUAAACCCAUUACAGCACAAAUAAUCCCAAACUGACCCAACUAGUAAAUUUAGGGUUUCAAAAUUUGAAACCCUAAAUCACCUAACCCCAACCGACACCUGCAGCAUCGCCCUUGUCACAUCCAUCGCCCAUUUUCCUGCAAGAAAUACAGAACAAGUUAUUAAGAAGCAAGUUGUAAGGGAAAUUGCCUAUAAAAGGCCACUCCCAAAAUCAUUGUAUUUUGGGCACUGGAGAGAAAUAAAAAACAGCAUUUUGACUUUAAAACACAAACAAAAAAUCAGUGAGUCAAAAGCACAAAAUAGCCAAUCAAGAGAAAAACACCAAAUUAGAAAACAAAUACCAAGAAUCAGACAUCUAGAAAACAAAGGUGAUUUCAUUCUAUACAUUUUCGAUUUAUUUCUUUUUUUCAUUUUUCGAAUCUCCUAUUUCCGUAUAUAUAUAUUAUAAACACAUAAAAUAUAUAAGAUAAUAUAUAAAAAAAGAGGAAGAAACUUUACCUUUUCCGGCCACCUUGCGCCAACGACAUCAGUGGCGCGUGGCGGCCCUCCAGGCCGAAUUCUGGGAUUGUCCUAGAGAGAAAGGGAGAAUUCUCCCCUUUUUUUCUAAAACAGCUAAGAAAUGAGCAUUAAAGAAAAAAUUUGGGGUUUUAUAAUGGUACCAAAACGGUACCGUUUUGGCCCUCCCCCCAGGCAUAAAACGACACCGUUUUGGGGUGGAGCAGGCCAACCCGACCCGGCAGGCAUGGGAUUCGCGUGUUUUUGAAGCGGAGGGGUUAUUUGCGCUUUUGGCCCCUCCGCUUUUUCAUCAAUUUUCAAUUAAAUUUGUUAUGCUUUUAAAUUCGCCCCUUUAAUUUUAUUUCGUUUACAUUUUGGUCCCGAUUAAAGUGCAGCAUUUUGGGGAAGGAAAAUUUUCCUUUUUAGUCCCCCAUGUUAUUCGCGCACUCCAAAUGGGUCCUUCCCCUUAUUUUUAUUUUUUGAUUUGGCCCUGAACUUUUACUUUAGGUUUAAUUUAGUCAUUUUUCUUAUUAUUUUCGAUAUUUUAAUUAAAUUAAUGAAUUAAAUAUAUUAUUAUUAUUAUUAUUACUGUUAUCUUUAUUACUAUUACCAUUGUUAUUACUACUUCCAUUAUUUUUUAUUUCUAACUAUUAUUAUUUUUAUGUAUAUAUUAUUAUUUAUAUUAUUAUUAUUAUUACUAUUAUUAAAUACCUUUAUUAUUACUAUUAUUUUUGUUCCUUUUAUUAUUGUUUAUUAUCAUUAUAUUAUUAUUAUUACUACCAUUAUUCUUUAUCAUUACUUCUUUUUUGUACUACCAUUAUUGUUCACACAAAUACGUUAUUGUUUAUUAUUAUUACUCUAUUUUUGUAUUCUUUCUAUUAUGUAUUACCCAUUUAUUAUAACUACUAUUGUCAUUAUUUUACAAUUGUAUUUUAAUGUACUAUUAAUAUUACUCUUAUUUUCAUUAUUAUUAUUACUACCAUUAUUCUUUAUUGCCAUGGUUCUUAUUUUUUAUAGCUAUUAUUUUUUAUUACUGAUAUCACUAUUGUUAUAUUUAGUAUUAUUUUUACUUUCAUUAUGACUACUACUAUUAUUAUUAUGGUUUCUCUUUUAUACACUUACGUUUUUUUAUAUAAUAUAUUGAUUUUAUUAUGUAUUCGUUUAUACUUUUAUGUAAUUUCGAACUUUGAAAUUUUUUUAUUUUGUAUCAUUAUUUUGUUUCAUAUAAUACUUAUUUAUAUUUAUACCAUUAUUAUUAUUUUAUCAUUUUUUUAUUUUUUUAACUUUUUUUUGUUUAUUGUCUCAUAUGUUUAUUUGCUUAUCCUCGAUUUAAAAUCAAAUUUACACUACAAUUUGUUUUGUUAUUUCAUUUAUCAUCAUAUUUAUUUCAUUUUAUUUCGUUUUGUUCUCAUUAUCAUUAUUUCAUUAUAUUUAUUCGUUUAUUCAUAUAUGAAUCUAUAUAUCUGCAAGUUUAUGUUAUUCGUCAUUAUUAUUGUGUUUAUAUCAUCACCUUUGUUAUUAUUAUUAUGCAUGUUAAUGCUCCGAUUUGUUUCUCAUUUCACCAUGUGAUUAUGAUUACGUUGGUCCUUUACUCAAUGCAUAUAAUUGUGUUUUCUAAAAUAAAACAAGUUUCGUAUUUAGACAAUUCGAGAAAAUUGUGGCCUAACUUACUGGGUUUCAGUUUUUCUCGUUUAAUCUAAAUAACGACAUAAUCCUAUAAAUCACAUUAUGUUUUUUACUCGAUGCCUUAAAAUAAUUCUUUCAUAAAAGUGAUAUGUCGUAUUUGGUAAUUCGAGACAAUCGUGCCCUAACUUACUGGGCUUCGAUUUUUCUCAUUUAACCUAAAUAACGGAAUACUAUUUUAAAUCGCUAUACGAGUUCUGAAAAAUGCUUAUUCUCGGAGAUACGAAGCGUUGUGCCCUAACAUACCGGGUAUGACAUUUUGUCACCUCAAAAUGAGAAUUUGUUUUAAAAUAAAGGUAAUAUUCGGUGUUUGAGAAUUCGAGAAAACGUGCCCUAACUUACUGGGUUUCGAUUUCUCUCGUUUACUCUAAAUAAUCGAAUACCCUUUUAAUAAAUUAAAAUACGCAAAUUUUAUAUAAAAGGCAAGCUCGCUCUCGAAAAUUCAAGAUGUCGUGUCCUAACUUACUGGAUGUGACAUUUCAUAUUUUGAGACGAGAAGGUCUUUAACACUUGAGCUUUUUUAUAAAGAAGGAUCGUAUUUCAAAAGUCUUUCAAGUUUUCAAUCUUCGACACUAAGACACUAAUUAAUCAACUAGGUACCAAUUUUGGGCGUAUCGAGAGUGCUAACCCUUCCUCGUGCGUAACCGACUCCCGAACUCAUUUUCUAACUUUUCGUAGACAAAAAAAAAUUAUCGUUUUAGUAAAUCUUAACUUUUAUUAAAAUGAUUAAUUUGAGGUGACCCGAUCACACCUCAUCAAAAAUGAUUGGUGGCGACUCCUCUAUUAGUUUUCAUUUUCAAAAUCUAAGUCGAUUCUUGUUUUUCCAAAAAAUGGUUACGACAGAAUAUAUUUUCAUUUGAAAAAAAAUAUUGGUUUUACAACUAACAAUAUUAUCGUUGCAGGUCAUCUACCGUCGGAAAUAUUUGAUAACCUAUCUAAAUUGCAAGUGUUAGAGUUGAGAGGCAAUAAGAUUUCGGGUAGAAUUCCAAAUAGUUUAAUCAAGUGCAAAGAGUUGACAUUUUUAUCAUUGUAUAACAACUCUUUGGAGGGAAAUAUCCCUAUAGAAAUUGGAAAUUUGACUAAGCUCGAAUCUUUGCUCCUUGGUUACAACAACCUCAAAGGUAAAUAAUUAUUGUUUUUAUUUCAUUCGUCUUCUCUUAUGUAAUUUCUAUGAACAAUUAUUUUAAAUAUUGAUGAAUGAGUUUAAAUAAUAACCAUCAAAUUCAAUGCUAACAAAACGAAACUUAGCCAUCAAGUAAUUAUUUUGUGUAUGUCAAUUGAGGCAUCAAGCUGUUAUUUGAUUCCUUAAGCCAGGGGCGAAGCCAGAACAAAUUUUUAGGGGGGCCGAAUGAAAAUUUAAUUUUUUAUAGUUUAUAUAUUUAUAAUUUUUAAAGGAUUAAAUAGAAUUUUUAUAAUUUUAGGGGGGGCCAAAGUACAAAUUUACCUUUAUUAAAUUUAAAAUUUUAAGAAAAAUUCAAGGGCCUAAACAUAAAUUUUCCAAUUUAGGGGGGCCAGGGCCACUGCCUUAAGCCAAUUUAAAGGGAAAAUGAUGAGGUGGUUAAUGGUUUAGUUAACUUGCAUGCCAAAAUAAGUCUUGAUAUUAGUUAUGUAAACAUUUUUCAAUAAAUUGAAUCAGAUGACAUCAAAUAAUAAGUUGAAAUUUGGAUGGACAUAAAUCUUCCACAUUUAUCGCAUGUGAAGUUUAAUGCCUUAUUUAUACUUGCCUUUAUGCGAAGAAAUGAAUUGAUGUUAUUUAUUGCAGGUCUUAUUCCUUACUCAAUCUUCAACAUUUCUUCAAUGCAACAAAUUGAUUUGGGAAACAACUAUCUCUUUGGUCAUCUCCUCGAUUAUAUUGUCUUGAUUUGGGUGGAUGUCAACUUUCUGGUAAGCAAACUUAUUUAUCAUACUUCAAUAAUGUGCUUAAAACUAAAAUAGGUAUUCACAACUUAACUUUUUCUUUUUACCCUUAUCUUAUUUGUUUCUAAUUUCGGUUAACAUAAGGAAUUAAUAAAUUAGGUGAAAUAAAAUUCAGAAAUGAGGAGUAGCCACUUUUGUUUGACGUUACAUAAUAAUUGAAAUCGAACUCUAAAUCAACAAAAGUCACCGCCUCAUGCUAUUUUUACCCUUGCCUUAUUUAUAUAUGAAACAGAGUAAAUAUGAGAGAAACAGAGUACAUGGGCAGUCGCCAUUUAUAUAUGAAAUAGUUACUUCAUGUGAUGUAAUUGUUUCAUGCAAUACUUUCUUUUUAAUUUAUUUACAUUGCUAUCUUGAAUAUGUUUUUAUGUAGUUGGGCCCUUAAUUAUAAGUGCUACUUAUUCACUAAGUCUAGCAUUUUAGGCUUCCAUUUUGUGUUGUGCAAUUGGAAAUGUUCAUGGGCUUGCAUAUAUCCUAUUUAAUUUUUAACAACAAAAUUAGGCUGGGUCAGGCUAUUUGAAAAAUUAAUCUCGGUCUAAUCAUCUUGCCAUGAACAUUUCUAAGCAAUAUUUGUAUAAUUUUUUAUUUCAAUUGUGAGUUAAUGGAUGUUGUGACUAGAUCCUUGGAAUGAAAAUUGUAAAGAUAAUGAAGAAUGAUUAAAAAUUAUUAAAUUCUGUUAUUCCUCUCCUUAUGAUUUGCCUUAUACCCACACAAAACCUUAUGGUAGAAAUUUGCUUCUUCAUCUUGGCCUUUGAUCCAUCUUUUUUCUUUGGGUUCAUCCACAAAUGUUGUUUGUUCUUGGCUUGAAUUAAUCAUAGUAAUAAUUUUCUUUGCAUUAAAUGAUUUUGAGAUUUUGGGUGAUAUAUUGAUGGUCACCCUUGUUUGUUUUAUAUAUAUCAAAACUUAGAGAUUGACUUAACAAGAAAGAUGGUGAUGAUGAUGAGAUGAAUAUUAGUGAAGAAGGCGAAAACAAUAAACACAAUCUAAAGAUAAGUCAAAAAAUAUAAGUCAAUCAGUGUUAGUGAGAAAACAAUCUAAAACUGUUUUCAGCCAUAAGUUCAAUAUAAGAGAAAUAGACUACAUGAUUUCUAUAUGAGCAGAUAUAUUUGUGUGUUUGCUGAUUCCUUAGCAAAAAAAUUGUAUCAAUACCGUGCUUAUCCUUGUUAUAUGCACAGAUAUAUGUGUCUAUAUGUGCAGAUACAUGUGUUUUUGAUAAUUUGUGGCAAGAGAUAAAUAGCAAGCAAUUUAGGGAAACAUAUUGUAUGUAAGUUGUUUGACAGUAACAAGUCACUGCUAACUAGAUAUAUAAAACUAGAAGUUUCUAAAAAAAUAUACCUGUUCAGUUUCUCAUUUAAACUUGAAAGUUUAUCCUAUAUUUAAACAAAAACAUUAAGCGUGAACAAAAAAUUAGUUGUAGGUAUUUGAAGACUAUGACCGUCUUUUACUUGUAAAAGAAGAUUGGAGUUAUUUUUGUAUUUAUAGAAUAUUGAACAUUAGUUGUAGGUAUUUGAAGGCUUUCCCUGUUUUGGGGUUGUAGCCCAAUAAUUGUGGCUAUUUCUUACUCAAAAAUAUGUGUCUAUAUGUGCCAAUAUAUAUGUGUUUCCUGUUUCCUUACUAAAAAAUUGUAUCAGUACGGUAUUUAUCACUGCUAACUAGAUAUAUAAAAAUAAUUUUUUUUCAAAAAAUUGAUAUCAGCUGUUCAGCUUUUCUUCCAAACUUGAAGGUAUAUCCAAUAUUUGAACAAAAAUAUUAAGCCUGAAUUGUUUUAUUCCAUCGAAUUUUCAGCAUCAUUUAAGUUAUAAAUUUGAGUAUUAUAAUUAAAAUCAUUUAUAGUUAUCAUAAGUACCAUAAAACUAAACAAAACUUGAAUGUUUAAAAAAUAGGUAAAUAAAACAGGCACUAAUAUGCUCAACAAAUAAAUUAAGAGUUUAUUAGGAAAAUAUUUAUUAAAUUUAACUGAUUUAAUUAUAUGUUUCAAGUGAAAUUCCUCUGUCAUUGAACACUUAAGUUUUCUUGAAGCACUUUAUUUUGACAAUAAUAAAUUCACAGGUAUAAUUUCAUUUUUCUUUUCUUCUCUUUUUUGUUAUAUGUUCAAUAUAAGAGAAACAGACUACAUGAUUUCUAUAUGUGCAGAUAUAUUUGUGUGUUUGCUGAUUCCUUAGCAAAAAAUUGUAUCAAUACCGUGCUUAUCCUUGUUAUAUGUGCAGAUAUAUGUGUCUAUAUGUGCAGAUACAUGUUUUUUGAUAAUUUGUGGUAUAGCGACGUAAAAAAAUUUUUUAGCUUCGCUUGGUCACUAAUUGUGGCGAUUUAUUAAGCAUUUGAAAACCAACUUUCGAUUUUAUUAGCAAAGGGAGUCGCCACCGAUCCUUUUUUAUAGGUGUGAUCGGAUACCUAAUAAAAUUAUUUUAAAACAAAAAGAAGGCCAAAUUUAGGUCUACGUGAAAGUCCAGAGAAAAAUUGGGGUUCGGAAGUCAGUUAUGCGCGAGGAAGGUAUUAGCACCCUCGCGACGCCCAAAAUUGGUAUCUCAUAAACAUGUGUUGACUUGAUUUUCAAAAAUACGAGUUCAAUAUAAUAUUUAAUCGUGAUCCGAUUGAAAGAUGAGAAUUUUUAGUUUUUGAUUUUUUUUUAGAAAGGGUGUCCCGUUUUUUAACACAAGCCGACGAAUUUCACCCAACAUAGCAAUGAAAUCGAUGGCUUAAUAUUAAAUCGGUACAUUGCCUUAUUUUUGAAAUUAAUUAAAACAUGAGAAAAAAUAUUCCUAAAGUGAGAAAUUAAAAAUAGAUAAAGGACGCAAAAAAAAUGAUAUCAUUAAUGAAAAAUAUUAACAUGGAAUACUAGAAUAUUAGAAUAACAAUAAUAAUGAUAUUUACAAAAUAAAAACAAAUCAUGUACUAAUAAUAAAAUAGGAAAAAUGAUAUAUUUGGUAAUAAUAAUAUAAAAUAAUAAUAUGUACAUAAAAAUACAUAUAUAUGCAUAUAAUAAAAGUAUGUAAUAAUAACAAUAAUAUCUACAAUAAAAGAAAAUAUUAGGAAACGUACAUAAAAAAUAUAUACAUAAAAAAUUUACAACAAUAAUAUAAAAUAAUGAUAUGUACAAAAAUAUAUAUAUACAUAUGUACAUAAAAUAUACACUAAUAUAAUAAUAGUUAUAAUAAUACUAGCAAUAGUAAUAAUUUGUAAUAAUAAUAUAUACACAAUAUGGUAUUUAAAAUAUAUAUAUGUAUAUAUAAUAGUAUUUAAGAAUAUAUACAUAAGAAAUAUAUAACUAAUGGCAUUAAAAAAUAUAUACAUAAUAUAUAUAAAAUACCUAAAAAAAGAAGGGGGAAAGAAGAAAGAAGGGAGGGGGAAAGGAAAUCCGGCCAAGGGGGGCCGGUCACCGGCCGAUCGUCAGCCGCCGCCCGUCACCGGCGCCGGCCACCGCCGGCCACCGCCCACGGUGGUCGGAAAAGGUAAUUUUUUUUCUUAACAAUAUAUGUAUAUAUAAAGAAAGAAAAAAACAAAACAAAAAAAAAGAAAGAAAAAAAGAUUCGAAAGAAGAGGAAAAAAGAAAAAAAUGCAACCUUUUUAUUAUGUUUCUUUUGUGUUCAAAAUUUGAAGGGAUUUUUGUGUUUGUCUCCUUUUUCAAUCUUUGUAAAAUCCCCCCUUUACAUGAUUUUUGAAUGGCUUUUUAUAGCCAUCUUUUACAUGAUUUUCUAUUAUUUCUUUUUCUAUUUUGUAGGUGGUGGUGGUAGACAAUGGAUAUCAAAAAUGGAAGGAAAAAUAGGGCAAGUGGGAAAGUGGGUAGGUGGCUAGGGUUUCUUGGUUUUUUUGGGGGGGGGUUAGGUUUUUUUUUGGGGGUUAGGUUUUUUUGGGGGGGCUUAAUGGGCUUUUGAAUUGGGUUUAAUAUUUGGGUUUUGUAAUGGGUUUGGGUAGAUGUAAAUGGGUCAUGGGUUAAGGGUUUUAGUGGGUUUAGAGGUUUGGUUGGGUUUUGAUAUAAUCGGGCCCGGGCAAUUUGGGCUUCUACAGCUGCCCCUCUUUGUUCAUUGUCGUGCAACGAUAAUAGAGCAAAGACUUUCAAGGAAGACCAAAUUUGCCCGGUCUUGCUAGGUCUUGACUUGCUUUGGAACUCUUCUUGUUUAGUUAGUCCCUUUUCAGUCCACUGCAUCUUGUAGCUUUGGUUCACUCCACUGCAUCUUAUGAUAUACGCCUUGUAGCUUCAAUCUGUUCCAAUGUAACUUCAAGGAUAUGAAAUUUAUGGCUUCGACCUACUUCACUGUAACUUCAGAAAGGUGAGAUCUACAACUUCAAUCAGCUCUUCUAUCGCUUCAGUGAGAUAAGGUUUGUGGUCUUUUCUUCUGCGACUUCAAAAAGGCAAGAUCUGAUGUCCUUGAACAACUCCACUGCAACUUUAAGGAGACAGAAUCUGACGUCUUCAAUCAGCUUCAAUCUUUAUUCUCUACUCGGCAUGUGCUCCUGAGCUCAACUUAUUUUUCGCAAUAUGAAUUGACUCUCUAAAAACAGACAUUAAAAACAGAAAUCGAAAAUAGCUCAGCGCGUGAGCCAAGGCUCAACUCACCUCUCGCAAUAUGAGUUGAUUUUUUGAAACUUAACUUGAAAAGCAGAUUUUGAAAAUACCUCGAUAUGUGACUGGAGGUUCAACUCACCUCUCGCAAUAUGAGUUGAUUUUUGAAAAACAGAAAUUAAAAGACUCAACUCAACUCUCGCAGAAAUUAAAAAGCUCAACUCACCUCUCGCAAUAUGGGUUGAAUUUUUUUGAAAAAACAGAAAUUGAAAAUAGCUCAGCACGUGAGCCAAGGCUCAACUCACUUCUCGCAAUAUGAGUUGAUUUUUGAAAACAGAAUUUGAAAAACAAAUUUUGAAAAUACCUCGACAUGUGACCCGAGGCUCAACUCACAUCUCGCAAUGUAAGUUGAUUUUUUUGAAAAAUAUAAAUUGAAAAAAUACCUCAGUGUGUGAUCUGAAGCUCAACUCACCUCUCGCAAUAUGAGUUGAUUUUUUUGAAAGACAGAAAUUGAAAAUAGCUCAGCGCGUGAGCCAAGGCUCAACUCACCUCUCGCAAUAUGAGUUGAUUUUUUUUUGAAAGGUAGAAAUUGAAAAACAGAAAUUGAAAAUACCUCGGCGUGUGACCUGAGGCUCAACUCGCCUCUCACAAUACGAGUUGAUUUUUUUGACAACAGAAAUUGAAAUUACCUCAGCGUGUCCUGAGGCUCAACUCACCUCUCGCAAUAUGAGUUGAUUUUUUUGAAAAACAGAAAUUGAAAAACGGAAAUUGAAAAUACAUCGGCGUGUGACCUGAGGCUCAACUCGCCACUCGCAAUACGAGUUGAUUUUUUGACAACAGAAAUUAAAAAUACCUCAGCGUGUCCUGAGGCUCAACUCACCUCUCGCAAUAUGAGUUGAUUUUUUUUUGAAAGACAGAAAUUGAAAAACGAAAAUUGAAAAUACCUCGGCGUGUGACCUGAGGCUCAACUCGCCUCUCGCAAUACGAGUUGAUUUUUUUUGACAACAGAAAUUAAAAAUACCUCAGCAUGUCCUGAGGCUCAACUCACCUCUCGCAAUAUGAGUUGAUUUUUUGAAACAUACGAAAAAUUGACAAUACCUCAGCGUGUCCCGAGGCUCAACUCACCUCUCGCAAUACGAGUUGAUUUUUUUGACAACAGAAAUUAAAAAUACCUCAGCGUGUCCUGAGGCUCAACUCACCUCUCAAAUAUGAGUUGAUUUUUUUAAACAUACGAAAAAUUGACAACACCUCAGCGUGUCCCGAGGCUCAACUCACUUCUCGCAAUAUGAAUUGAAUUUUGAAAUAAAACAUCAGAAUACCAGAACAUGUCAUCUGGUGGAACUCAUGUGUCUUUUCAGCUAUCAUCACAUCUUCUUGCUCUACUGGAGUACCUAUAUAUGUCAUGCAUGAUAUUAUCAUGAUAUGCACAUGUUUGUCUUAAAUGCUUUUAUGCCUACAUGAUUAUGCAGUGCUCCUUAAGCAUGUUUUUCGUAUGUCUAUUUAGCCACGAUUGUUGAGGAUCUGUGUUCAUUGCUUUGAUUCUCGACUUUCUCUUUAGGCCUUAUACCUGUCUUCAAGCUUCAGAGUAAUCGACGUUUCUCAGAUAUCACUCUUCUGCCCCCGAUUGAACUUUGCUCUUACUUUGAGACUCUUGUGCUUAUCAAAUUUUCAUCCAGGUAAUGCUUAACAUUUCUUUUGUUUAGAGUAUGUCAUUUCACCAUUUAUCAUGUAAAUAAACACAUAAUGAGAUGCAUGAAAAAGGUCAGAUAGGGACAAAAAUGAUAUUUAAUAUUCAUCUAUUUCAAAUGUGGCAAACAAAGCAAGUUAACCAAUGAGAGUAAAAAAUGUCAAAAAGAAAGAAAGGAUCGUAUUCAACGGAUACAAAUGCUCUAGAUAUUCAACACAUGAACUCUUCCUCGUUUCUCAAUCAAAAAUCUUUUCGAGCGCGGCUUAUUGCGUAGAAGAUUUCGAGCUUUCAGAAAUGCUUCAAAUACUAUAGCCUCACUGCUUGACCUAUCGUUCGAUCGCCAGGUUUGUUUCAUUAGGACGCCCUCUCGGGUUUUCAUCCUAAUCUUUUUGUACUAAUCAAGACGCCCUUUUCGGGUUUUCGCCUUGAUCCCUUUUUUUUAAGAUGCCCUUUUCGGGUUUUCAUCUUAAGCAUAAUAUUUCUUCACAGCAUCUGAGUUCACUGGAUUUGACAACUCUUUCCCAUCCAUCUCGGUAAGGAUCAAAGCUCCUCCUGAGAAUGCCUUCUUUACGACAUAUGGUCCUUCCCAAUUUGGUGCCCAUUUUCCUCGCAGGUCUUUUUGUAUUGGGAGAAUUUUCCUCAGCACGAGUUCUCCUUCAUGGAAUUCUCUUGGCCGUACCUUAUUGUCAUGGGCUGUGAUCAUUCUUUUCUGGUAUAUUUGUCCAUGACAAAUUGCCCUGAGACGCUUUUCUUCAAUGAGGUUCAGUUGAUCAUAUCGAGCUUGUACCCAUUCUGCUUCUUCUAACUUUGAUUCCAUUAAGACUCGCAGAGAGGGGAUCUCAACCUCAAUAGGUAGCACAGCUUCCAUUCCAUAAACCAGAGAGAAAGGAGUUGCUCCUGUAGAUGUUCGCACAGAUGUGCGAUAUGCAUACAAAGCAAAUGGUAGUUUCUCGUACCAAUCUUUAUAUGUCUCAGUCAUUUUCCCAAUGAUCUUCUUAAUAUUUUUGUUGGCUGCUUCCACAACCCCGUUCAUCUUUGGGCGAUAAGGCGAGGAGUUAUGAUGCUUUAUUUGGAAUUGCUCGUAUACUUCUUCCAUCAUCUUAUUGUUCAGAUUCAUGGCAUUAUCUGAAAUGAUUCUCUCAGGCAAACCAUAUCGACAAAUAAUUUCCUUUUUCAAAAAUCUGCAAACUGCAGUCUUUGUCACAUUGGCAAACGAAGCAGCUUCUAUCCAUUUUGUGAAGUAAUCAAUAACCACAAAAAUGAACCGGUGUCCAUUAGAAGCUUUUAGGGAAAUUGGCCCUAUAACAUCCAUGCCCCACAUAGAAAAAGGCCACGGAAAAGUCAUGACAUGAAGGGGUGAAUGGGCUACAUGAAUUUUAUCGCCGUAGAUUUGACAUUUGUGGCAUUUUCUGGAAAAAUUGAUGCAGUCACUUUCCAUUGUUAGCCAAUAAUAACCGAGUCUCAUGAUCUUUCUGGCCAUAUUGAAACCAUUGGCAUGCGUUCCUCAAAUUCCCUCAUGGACCUCUUCAAGUAUUUUUCUGGCUUCAACAUCAUCCACACAUCUCAAAAGUAUCUGAUCCUUUCCUCUUUUAUACAGGAUAUCCCCAUCAAGAACAAAUCUCGCUGCCAUUCUUCUAAUUGUUCUUUUAUCGUUCUCAUUCGCUUGUUCGGGAUACCUUUGAUUCUUGAUAUAUUCUAGGAUAUCAUGGAACCAAGGCCGUCCGUCUACUUCUUUCUCAAUGCUACAACAGUGUGCAGGGACCUCGUAUAUGCUCAUUUUGAUGGGCAUUAUUUCUGCUUCUCUACUUACUUUGAACAUUGAAGCCAAAGUGGCCAGGGCAUCAGCCAGUUGGUUCUCUUCUCGUGGGAAGUAAUGAAAAGUUAUUUCUUUGAAUUCCUUGAUCAAUCCAGCCACUAAAUCGCUGUACUUAAUCAAUUUUGAGUCUCUCACUUCCCACUCUCCACGGAUUUGGUAAAUCACUAGGGCUGAGUCCCCGUACACCUCCAAGAUCUUGAUGUUUCGUUCGAUAGCUGCACGAAGCCCCAUGAUACAGGCCUCAUAUUCUACGAUAUUAUUGGUACAGAAAAAGUUCAGUCUUGUAGUGAACGGAUAAUGAUUCCCGUCUGGUGAUACCAGGAUUGCUCCAAUUCCAUGCCCUAAAGCAUUUGACGCACCAUCAAAGCACAUCUUCAAUGACUUCUCUUUUGAUGACUCGGAUUCUAUUUCUGUGAUGCACAUUAAGUCUUCAUCUGGGAAAUCGAAUCUUAAAGGCUCAUAUUCCUCUGUCGUUCGAGUUGCUAAGAAGUCAGCUAUUGCGCUCCCUUUUAUCGACUUCUGACUUACAUAGGCAAUAUCAUAUUCCGAAAGGAGGAUCUGCCAUCGUGCCAUUCUUCCUGAUAGUGCCGACGAUUCCAUCAUGUAUUUUAUUGGGUCCAGCUUUGAAAUUAGCCAUGUCGUGUGAUACAACAUAUAUUGUCUGAGUCUCCGAGCUACCCAAACCAGAGCGCAACAAUAUUUCUCAAUAGACGAAUAUUUUGCCUCAUAUUCAGAGAACUUUUUGCUGAGGUAGUAGAUCGAUUUUUCUUUCUUUCCUGACUCGUCAUGUUGCCCCAGUACGUAACCCAUUGAACUUUCGAACACAGUCAAAUACAAUAUCAAUGGUCUUCCAGGAGUUGGCGGUACUAGCAUUGGAGGACUGGACAAAUAUUGUUUUAUCUUAUCAAAGGCCAUCUGGCAUUCCUCGUUCCAUUCUCCCGGGUUAUGUUUUCGAAGAAGCCGAAAGAUUGGGUCGCAUUGGUUGGUAAGUUGAGCGAUAAAUCGGGCGAUGUAGUUUAAUCUCCCUAAAAAUCCUCUAACUUCCUUUUGCGUGCGCAGAGGUGGUAAUUCUUAGAUGGCUUUUAUUUUAUCUGGAUCAACUUCGAUACCUUUUUCACUGACAAUGAAGCCUAGCAACUUUCCCGAGGUAGCCCCAAAUGUACAUUUGGCCGGAUUGAGCUUUAGCUGGAACUUUCUCAGUCUGUCGAACAAUUUCUUCAGAUUCACUACAUGCUCUUCUUCCCCUCGAAAUUUAACAAUCAUAUCGUCGACGUAGACCUCUAUUUCUUUAUGCAUCAUGUCAUGGAAUAACGUCACCAUAGCCCUCUGAUAUGUUGCUCCAGCAUUCUUUAACCCAAAUGGCAUCACCUUGUAACAGAAUGUUCCCCACAUUGUUACGAAGGUAGUUUUCUCCAUAUCCUCAGGGGCCAUCUUGAUCUGAUUAUACCCCGAGAAUCCGUCCAUGAAAGAAAAUAAUGAAUGUUUUGCUGCGUUAUCCACUAACGUAUCAAUGUGUGGUAAGGGAAAAUUAUCUUUAGGACUUGCUCGAUUCAGGUCACGAUAAUCCACGCACAUUCGUACUUUACCAUCUUUCUUUGGUACCGGGACUAUGUUAGCCACCCAUUCUAGAUAUUUGGAGGCUUGUAGGAAGCCAGCAUCAAAUUACUUCUUGACUUCCUCUUUUAUCUUCAACAACAUCUCAGGCCUCAUCUGUCUUAGCUUUUGUUGAAUGGGCUUGCAUUCUGGCUCUAAUGGGAGCUUAUGGACUGCUGCAUCUUCAUCCAAUCCUAGCAUGUCCUGAUAUGACCAUGCGAGUACAUCUUUGUACUCACGGAGCAAAGCUAUCAAAUUAUGUCUGGUGCCCCCUGAAAUAGAAGUCCCAAUCUUCACUUCUUGCUUCCUUUCUUCAGUUCCCAGAUUUAUUGUUUCAACAGAUUCUUGAUUAGGCAAAAUCUAUUUAUCCUCUUGUUUCACCAUUCUUAGCAAGUCAGGGGACGAGACAUAGUCUUCAGCAUUUUCUUCGACUUCAAAUUCUCCUAAACAAACAGCAUUCUCAAAAUCGAUUUCAGGACUCGUAAUUGGUUUGUUCAUGCUGUUGAUAUCUGAGCACCUGAAAGUUGAAUGGAAAAGGAAACUAUAGGGGGCAUCCAAGUAUUGGAACCAACAAACGAAAUGUUAUGGCAUGGUAUGAGGCAAAUGUACAGAUAGGCUAUGAAAUGAGGAGAUGAUUAUGAAAUUAGUGAUAAUGCGAAAGAUCGUGAUAAAAUGCAUCUUCAUUGAUAUUCAUUUAAAUGAUAAAGAGUGAAUGCAAGCUCUUACAAAAAAGUUCUAUUAUAUCUAAGAACACAAUAGAGGGUUAAUAUUUGAGCAUUACUCUGAAGACUUAUAAACUACAAGAAGGUUCUCGGUAAUUCAAUUGUUCAACAUGAAACUAGGAGGACAAUGGCGUAUCAUUGAAACAUCUUUAAUAGCCUCACUUCCUUUGUCAAUGAUAUUUAUACUGACAUUUUGAAAACCCCUUUCAAUUAAAAACAGCGUGCUUUGUAUAUUAUCCUAUCCGGGGUAUAUCAUUCCCACAGAUGUAAAUGUUUUUGACAAAGGAGCGUAUGUUAUGGGCUCCCAUUCUACUUCUCGGUCCAAAGUUCUCACAAUCCUUCUCUCCUGAUCUUUUUUCCACUAUUUUCUUCUUUGACGCAUGUCCGGCUGGAACCCAAAAUCGUAUCGGGCCUUGUGAUGUACUGGCUUUAGAGUCUUAACUAUUCCUUGUAGGUACCUUCCCAAACUUUUCCUUGCUCGGGCUCCCUUUCCUACAGUCAACUUGAACCCAUCUUGGUAUUUCUCGACAGUUUUGGCUCGAGAAUUAUGUUUCCCUCAAUGACGAAUGUGGCAUUCACAAAUUCAAGAGAUCGGAAGGAACAUUUCAGAGCGUCUUUACUCACUUCAAUAUAUGGUGCGUCGGUAGAAAUAGAUGCUACAAUGUCUUCUUCUCCCUUGACAGUGACCAAACAGCCAUCAAUGAUAAAUUUCACUUUUUGAUGGAGGGAUGAUGGGACUGCUCCAGCAGAAUGGAUCCAAGGUCUUCCCAAGAGACAAUUGUAUGAUGGUGUAAUGUCCAUGACUUGAAACUCAACAUCGUAUAUGUAGGGACCCACUUCUAGAUGGAUCUCGAUUUUUCUCAUAACUUCUCGUCUUGUUCCAUCGAAUGCCCUUACUGUAGAAUGACAGGGCCUUAGAUAGGAUAAAUCCAUCGGAAUCCUGGAAAGUGUGGCCAAAGGCAUGACAUUGAGUGCCGAUCCAUUGUCGAUAAGCACGUUCGGUAUUAUAUAGCCCUUACAACGGGUUGUGAUAUGCAAUGCUUUCACUGAGCCUCUACCAUUGGGCGGUAUUUCAUCAUCACUAAAAGAAAUAAAAUUAUCCGCAUUCAAGUUGUUCAUCCAUCUAUCCAAUUUUUCAACGGAUACAUUUUUUGCCACAUAAGCUUGAUUUAACACUUUCAGCAGAGCGUUCCAGUGUGGUUCUGAAUUCAAAAGCAGAGAUAAUACCGAGAUUCGCGCUGACUGCUUACUCAAUUGUUCUACCACGUUGUACUCACUGUGCUUGAUUAAUUUUAAGAAUUCCUGUGCUUCCUCCUCGUCCACAGGCUUUUUAGCUUCUUGUUCAGGCACAGUUUCAUGCUCAUCUUCGGUCACGUGCAUCGGUGCUUUUCCUUUCUGUUUCAAGUCACUGUUCUUCUUUAUCUCCUUCGAAUAACAUCUUCCACUACGAGUGAAAUGACCUACUUUCCCGACGCUUCCAGUCAUGGCUUUAGGAUUUUCAUCUUCAGGUGUGACGAUAUUAACGUCAUACUUCCAUGGUACUGCUUUAUUGUCCUUGUAAGGGAAAGGAAACGGUACUUCAAUUAUCAUUUUUGGUUUCACCGGUUCCUUCCUUGUAUCGCAAUAAAUUACGAAUGGUCGAUCGGCGCUAUACAGACAACCUGACGAUUGAUUAUCGGAGGUACAUACUUCUUUCUCAUUGUCCUCUCCUUCAUUAAUGAUCUCAAUCUCCUUAUUAUCUAUCCGGUCUUGCAGUAACCUUUUAAAUUCCUCGCAUGAUUGAAUGUCGUGCCCUACAAUUCUAUGAAAAUCAAAAAAAACCUGACAUUCUUUUCUGAGAUUAUCGUCGGGGCGACAGAGCAAUCCAUUCUUAACCAGUACCUCCCAGAUUUUCUACAGAGGCGUCCUUAUUUCUGAAACACAUCUUCUAACUUGCCAUUCAUCUUCUUUCCCCACUGUGCUCACAUUCCCUUCAGUAUGGUUAGGGAACGGGUUACUAUCGAAUCGUAGGAUACCCGCAUCAAUUAGUCCUUGAACUCUCCUUUUAAAAGCUAGGCAAUUUUCUGUGGAAUGUCCCUGGUUUCCUGCAUGGUAUGCACAACUAGCGUUUGGGUCGUACCAUUUCGGGUAUGAGGUUUAAGGGGUGCCAUGUAAUAGGGAGAUAUCAAUUGUUUCUCCAAGAGUUUUGGGUACAAUUCCCCAUACGACACAGGGAUAGGAGUAAAUUGUGGCUUCUCAGGGUUGGGCCUUAUUGGUCUUGGUUCGUUUCUGGGUUGGUUUUGAACUGGUGUAGUGUUUUGUGAAAAAGUGGUGACGGGUCUUUGGUUGUUCAUGGCGUAUACGGGGUAGGAGGGAGGUGGUGUUUGGUAGUAAGGGGUUUGAGGAGGAUAAUAAAAAUUUGGAGGUGGAUAAUUUCGAGGUCGGGGUUGAUUUGGAUAUGGAUUAGGGGCAUAACGGUUUCUCAUUCCCACCAUGUGGGCUUCUGGUUCUUUCUUCUUCAUAGGCGCUGCCCUUUUUGAACCUUCUGAACCUUCCAUUCUACCGCUCUUGACGGCAUUCUCUAUGAGCUCACCAGAUAUUACAAUAUCCGCAAACUCCUUCGUGGCACUUCCCACUAGUUUUUCAUAAAACGGCGCCUUUAAGGUGUUGAUAAAGAGAACGGUUAUCUCCGUUUUUGUUAGUGGGGGUUCCACUUGGGCCGAGACGUCUCUCCAUCUCUGCGCAUACUGUCUGAAGGUCUCUGAUGUCUUUUUCUCCAUCAUUUGCAAGGUCAUCCGGUCUGGCACCAUGUCUGAUACAUGCUUGUACUACUCGCAGAAUGCAGACGCCAAGUCCUUCCAGGAUCGAAUCUUUUCUCUACUAAGUUGGUUGUACCACCGAAGAGCUGACCCUGUUAGACUAUCUUGAAAGCAAUGUAUAAGUAGCUUAUCCUCGUUCACAUAACCGGUCAUUUUUUGACAGAACAUGAUGAGAUGUACUUUUGGGCACCUUGUCCCAUCAUACUUUUCAAAAUCAGGCGCCUUGAAUUUCGGAGGCAAGAUUAGAUCAGAUACCAAACUGAGUUCUUUGGCACCUAGUGCGGAGAAGACUUCAGUGCCUUCUAUUGCUUUGAAUCUUUCCUCUAGACUUCUAUAUUUUGCAUCAUGAUUAUCCAAUUUCAACUUGGCUACCUCUGCUGGGUCGUCCAGAUCUGGAACUAGUGGAUCAGCAGGGCUUGCCCCUGGGUUUGACACGAAUAUUCCUUGCCCCAGAUUAGUGGGUGGAGCAGGUGGCGUAGGUCGUUGUUCCAAGACUGUGGGUUCCCCUUGAGUAUACCCUCUUUGUGUUGUAUAUGCGGGUGGUGGAGUGAAUCCCAGGGGAUAGAGUGGAUCCUGAUCGUGGUGAAUUCUUGAUUGAGGUUCCAUAACAUCGAGGUUCUGCACGGGUCAUUUUCCUUUGACCAAAGUUGUCAUCAUCUCCAUCAUUUUGGCAAUCUGAUCUCUUUGCUCGAGUGAUUCCUCUCGAGAUCUCACCAUUAGGUCUCUCGUUUCUUGUUGCGAUUUGGCCAGUUGCUCUUGUAAUUCCUUUUGAGCCCUUUCCAUCCUUUCAAUUCUCUCAUUGAAUUCAGCCUCCAUUACUCUAGCUUGUCGGCGCGUUUUAUACGGAUGACGUGGUUCCAGUCUUGUGGUAUUACAACUGCGAAUUAUAUAUUUUAUCUUCAGCGACCGAGUAUGGGAUAUGCAAUGUAUGAAUGAAUGCAUGAAUGUCAAAUGAAUGUCAGUCAUGAAUGAAUAUGCAAAAAUUUGGUGUUAAUUUCAAGAUAGCCCUUAUUUAGGCAUUUCCUUAAUCAAAGGAGUAUUACACAACGUUUCGGUCACUCGUAUAAUUGACUCCUCCAUCAGAAACCCAUUUUUGGCAAUCAAUCUCUAAUCAACACCUUCCUAACAAGAUGCCUUUGAUGCAUGAUGAAAAAUAGAAAUACAGACAAACAACCUUGGUUAGCAUAACACAUAUGAACAGAGAAAAACUAUGGAAAAUCUAACAAAUUAAGCUCCUUGGUCCAAUGGACUCAAUUCCCUUGCAUAGAAAGCGUAAAUGUAAAAGAAGCAGAAGGUAAGAUGUGUUUUUCCGGUGUACUUAUUUCGGUGACUAGUAAACGGACAAAGGUUAGGCAUGGCUCUAGUUAGGUGGCUCGUACAGUUCACUAUAUGCGGUUUUGGCUCUAGAUAGGUACUCGAAUUGUCCAUAUUGUCAUCUACUAAGAUUAGUAUAUAGCCUCAGUCAUUGCCCAUCAUAGGCUCACGAGUUCAAUUCGAGGGAUUACAUUUACUUAUGCCUAUGCGGAGGGACAAGUUAACUCACGAAAGCAUAAGUCAUAUGUAACCCGAAAGUAUUCACUAGCCUGUGCAGAAGGACGAGUUAACUCACGAAGGCGUAGCAUUUACUUUCACUUAAACGGACGGAGCCCGGGUAGAGAGCUCAUGUUAUGCGAAAAUGCAAGUGCACGGUGUGUGGGGAAAAACUCAUAAACCUUUACGUUUUACUUAAAAAACUAAACCAAAACUAAAAUCACAAAAAUUUAAAGUUGAAAAACAACCGGAUAAAACAAGUUAGAAUAUAUACAACACGAUGCAAAUGCAUGAUUUUUUGAAAACAAAAUAUUUGAGGAUCACGACUAAAUGUUAAUUUGAACAAGGAACUUUGAAAAUUUUGACAACACGAGUUUAAUUCGACUCGACUCGCAAGUUUGGUCCCCAGCGGAGUCGCCAGCUGUAGCGACGUAAAAAAAUUUUUUAGCUUCGCUUGGUCACUAAUUGUGGCGAUUUAUUAAGCAUUUGAAAACCAACUUUCGAUUUUAUUAGCAAAGGGAGUCGCCACCGAUCCUUUUUUAUAGGUGUGAUCGGAUACCUAAUAAAAUUAUUUUAAAACAAAAAGAAGGCCAAAUUUAGGUCUACGUGAAAGUCCAGAGAAAAAUUGGGGUUCGGAAGUCAGUUACGCGCGAGAAAGGUAUUAGCACCCUCGCGACGCCCAAAAUUGGUAUCUCAUAAACAUGUGUUGACUUGAUUUUCAAAAAUACGAGUUCAAUAUAAUAUUUAAUCGUGAUCCGAUUGAAAAAUGAGAAUUUUUAGUUUUCGAUUUUUUUUUAGAAAGGGUGUCCCGUUUUUUAACACAAGCCGACGAAUUUCACCCAACAUAGCGAUGAAAUCGAUGGCUUAAUAUUAAAUCGGUACAUUGCCUUAUUUUUGAAAUUAAUUAAAACAUGAGAAAAAAUAUUCCUAAAGUGAGAAAUUAAAAAUAGAUAAAGGACGCAAAAAAAAUGAUAUCAUUAAUGAAAAAUAUUAACAUGGAAUACUAGAAUAUUAGAAUAACAAUAAUAAUGAUAUUUACAAAAUAAAAACAAAUCAUGUACUAAUAAUAAAAUAGGAAAAAUGAUAUAUUUGGUAAUAAUAAUAUAAAAUAAUAAUAUGUACAUAAAAAUACAUAUAUAUAUAUGCAUAUAAUAAAAGUAUGUAAUAAUAAUAAUAAUAUCUACAAUAAAAGAAAAUAUUAGGAAACGUACAUAAAAAAUAUAUACAUAAAAAAUUUACAACAAUAAUAUAAAAUAAUGAUAUGUACAAAAAUAUAUAUAUACAUAUGUACAUAAAAUAUACACUAAUAUAAUAAUAGUUAUAAUAAUACUAGCAAUAGUAAUAAUUUGUAAUAAUAAUAUAUACACAAUAUGGUAUUUAAAAUAUAUAUAUGUAUAUAUAAUAGUAUUUAAGAAUAUAUACAUAAGAAAUAUAUAACUAAUGGCAUUAAAAAAUAUAUACAUAAUAUAUAUAAAAUACCUAAAAAAAAAAAGAAGGGGGAAAGAAGAGAGAAGGGAGGGGGGAAAGGAAAUCCGGCCAAGGGGGGCCGGUCACCGGCCGAUCGUCGGCCGCCGCCCGUCACCGGCGCCGGCCACCGCCGGCCACCGCACACGGUGGUCGGAAAAGGUAAUUUUUUUCUUAACAAUAUAUGUAUAUAUAAAGAAAGAAAAAAACAACACAAAAAAAAAGAAAGAAAAAAAGAUUCGAAAGAAGAGGAAAAAAGAAAAAAUGCAACCUUUUUAUUAAUGUUUCUUUUGUGUUCAAAAUUUGAAGGGAUUUUUGUGUUUGUCUCCUUUUUCAAUCUUUGUAAAAUCCCCCCUUUACAUGAUUUUUGAAUGGCUUUUUAUAGCUAUCUUUUACAUGAUUUUCUAUUAUUUCUUUUUCUAUUUUGUAGGUGGUGGUGGUAGACAAUGGAUAUCAAAAAUGGGAGGAAAAUGGGGCAAGUGGGAAAGUGGGUAGGUGGCUAGGGUUUCUUGGUUUUUUUGGGGGGGGUUAGGUUUUUUUUUUGGGGUUAGGUUUUUUUGAGGGGGGCUUAAUGGGCUUUUGAAUUGGGUUUAAUAUUUGAGUUUUGUAAUGGGUUUGGGUAGAUGUAAAUGGGUCAUGGGUUAAGGGUUUUAGUGGGUUUAGAGGUUUGGUUGGGUUUUAAUAUAAUCGGGCCUGGGCAAUUUGGACUUCUACAUGUGGCAAGAGAUAAAUAGCAAGCAAUUUAGGGAAACAUAUUGUAUGCAAUAGUAUCAGUUGUUAGACAGUAGCUAAUCACUGCUAACUAGAUAUAUAAAAAUAAAAGUUUCUCAAAAAAAAAUGAUACCUCUUCAGCUUCACAUUCAAACUUGAAGGUCUAUCCUAUAUUUGAACAAAAAAAUUAAGCGUGAACUGUUUUAUUCCAUCUAAUUUUCAGCAUCAUUUAAGUUAUAAAUUUGAGUAUUAUAAUUAAAAUCAUUUGUAGUUGUCAUAACUAUUAUAAAACUAAACAAAACUUACAUGUUUAAAAAAUAGGUACGCUCAACAAAUAAAUUAAGGGUGUACGAGCCCAUUUUGCCCGGGCCCAUACCAACAAAAUAACUCAAAUAAUAAACCCAAAAGUAACAGCCCAUUUACAAACCCAAACUCUGACCCAAAAUUUAAACCCAAACAAAUCAAAACCCUAAAGCCCAAAUGGCCCAAAAUCUAAAACAUUUUUCAGCAAAAUUCAGCAGCAAACCCUAGCUGGCCGUCGCAUGCCUCACGUGGCCUCCUCAUCUGCCACACCUCCAGCUCUCCAUGCCACCAUGUCGGCCACCAUGCCCCUCAGCCUUGGCCACCACGCCCCACGCGUCUGACACUCCCACCUGCUCCACCGUGCCCACCACCUGCAACAAGAACAAACACAACAGCAAAGAAAGCAUGCGAAUGAUGGGGGAAGUAAUAAACAAAAGGAACGAAAAAAAUAUAUUGGCUUUAAAAGCCGAAAUCUAUCAUUUGUAAAAGGGGGGUUUUUUUCUUUUCUGUUUUCGUUUUAACAUUCGUUCAAAUGUUCAAAAAAAUCAAUAAUUAAGAUAGAAUGAAACACAUGUACAAGCCGUGAUUUUAACACUGAAAUCAGAAGUUCAAAGUUGUCAAAAAAAAAAAUCAAAAACCACGAGUAUAAGGUAAUCUUUUUCUUUAUUUUUUUUGUCUCAUUCUCUAAACCUAUUUUCCAUACAUAAAUAUUAAUAUAUAUAAAAAAUACAAGAAAUAAAAAAAUAAAAAAUAUAUAAAUUUUUUUACCUUUUCCGGCCACCGCGUGCGGUGGCCGUCGCCGGCGCCGGCGAGCCUCCGAUGGCCGUCCGGUGACCGGCCCCCUGGCCGGAUUCCCCUUCCCCCCUCCCUUCUCUCUCCCUUCUCUUCCCUCUCUCUUUUUUUUUUCUUUCCCUCUCCCCAAAAGAUUUUUUUGGUUAUUUUAGGCCUUAUAUAGCCCUCCAAAACGACGUCGUUUUGGGGGUUACAUUUAAGCCUCAAAACGACGUCGUUUUGACCAUGCCCGACCCAUCCGACCCGACCCGCUAGGGGAUCCGCGUGUUUUCGUUUGAAUGGGAUAUUUAUGCGCGCAGUCCUUCCGCUUUUUCAGGGUUUUGCAAUUAAGUCAUUUUUCUUGUUUCCAAUUUGGCCCCAUAAUUUCUCGCGCUUUUCGAUUUAGUCCCCGCUAAUGUGCUGCGUUUUAAUGGAAUGGAAUAAUUGUUGUUUCGGUCCCCCUAUGUUUUGUGCGCGCUCAAAUAAGCCCAUUUCUCUUCAUUUCCUUUCACAUUUGCCCCACAACUUUGUUGUUAAUUCAAUUUCAGUCCUUUUUUCGUUUAUUUUUAUAUCUUUAUUAAAUAUCCUUGUUAUUUUUAUAUUAUUAGUAUUAUUAGUAUUACUAUUAUUAUUAUUAUGUAUUAGUAUAUAUUUUUACUAUGUACGUGUAUACAUAUAUAUAUUUUCAUAUUUAAUAUUUUUAUUUCAUUUUUAUUCUAAUAUUUUAUUAAUCUUAUGUUUGUUUCUUUUAUAUUCCAAUGUUAUUAUUAUUAUUAUUAUUUUUAUUAGUUUAUGCUUUGUUAUAUAUUUAUAUAUUUAUAAUGCGUAUAUAUACUUGACAUAUUUGUAUAUACCUCGGUAAUAUUAUUACUAGUUUUUAAUAUACGCAUAUAUUACCUAAAUAUUUUAGUAUUAUGUAUAUGCUUCAUGUAUUAUAUAUGUGUUCUUAAUACUAUACUUUAUUUGUGUCAUGUUUUUAUGUUGUAUUAUUAUAUUUUAAUAUUAUAUUAUAUAAUUAUAUACAUAUAUCUUUUAUAUAUAUUAUCAUUGUAUAUAUUUUAAUAUUAUUAGUUAUAUUUUACACUAUUAUAUACAUUUUUCUAAUAUUAUAUUGUAUAUACUAUUGUUUAUAUAUAUAUAUAUGUGUAUGUAUUUAUGUAGUGUAGAAAAUAGUUUUAUUAUUAUUCUUAUCAUUUCUAAGGUAUGCAUAUACUAUAUAUGUUCUAUGUAUGUUAUAUGGAUUUUUAAUAUCGCUAAAUAUAUAUGUCAUCAUCUUAUAUAUUAUUAUAUUAAAAUAUUUUAAUAUUCAUAAUUUCAAAUUGUUGAUACAUUUUUAUAAUAUAUAUUUACGUACAUACUUUUCAUUUAUUAUAAAUAUACUUUUUAUAUUUUUAUAUUUCAUAUUUUUAUGUAUACAUAGAUAUAGGCAUAAAUACAUACAUCUUAAUUCAUAUAUAUGUAUAUAUACGUACUUAUGUCACGGGCCAAAGUGCAAAACCCGUGACCAUGCCGCAAGUAGCGCCCCAUGGAGGUCUAUCGAUUAGAUGGGGGACAUUCAGCCCACAAGAACUGGCCCGAUUCAAAGAGCUACUAAAGAAGCCUAUCAGAUUGAAGCCUGGUUGGCCCAAUGAUGAAGACAUGGCAACUUAGGCAAUUUUGGUAACUAAUCUUAGAAGAUAGAAUAGAAUCAUAUCUUGUAAGAUUAGAUUAGAUUUGAUAAGGUAAAUCUUGUAAAUCCCUAAAAUCAAGGGAUAUAGUGAAUCUCAUCCGUCGAUGUACAUGUAUCUUGACCGUCGGUUUUGGGGGAGCUCAACUAUAAAUAGAGAGCCUCCCCCUCAUUUGUAAAUCAUCCAUUGUAACUUGAAUUCUUAAGAGUAAUAGAAUUCUUGAGCAUUUACUCAAACACUUUGUGUGCUUUCUUUCUUUAGCUUUCUGUUGUUCUCUUGUGGCUUCUUUUGGCACAAUCGCUUCCGCUAUAUAAAUUGGUGCCUUGGAGGAGUUCUAAAAGAAUCCUCUCUUUUGAAAGUUAAGGCUGACUUGGGCGAGUUUGGACGAACGAAUCGCCUAAGGCCGCACGGAUUGCGAGACGAAAGGUCUAGCCCCGUGACAAGUGGUAUCCGAGCCAAGUUUUGAACCAAGUUAUUCGAGUGGUUCGAAGGCACUGUUGGGAUGUCGAAAGAAGUCGUUGGUCAGAGUGAGCCAAUGGAGACCCGUGGGAGGGCUAGAAAAGCCAGUCGCUCGAGGGAAAUGCUGACAGCUUUGGAGAAUCGAGUGGUCAAUCUUGAGGAAUCCGUAGGGAACGUGAAAGAGAUGCUUGAAUUGGUCGAGGGACGCACAGAUGGGUUAGACUCAAUGGAGGAGCAACUCAGAGAUAUUGUGUUGGAUUCUCUCGGUGCAAAUAGGGAAAAGAUAACGGAAUUACUCGAGUCCACUGAGGUAAAGCUGGCAGAGAGGGAUGAAGCUCUCGAGGAUAUGGUGCUAGCCAUGCAGAAAGAAAUGGAGGAGCUCAAAGGGGAGCUCGCGAUUUACAAAGCCGCUUUGAGUAAUGGGAUGUUGUCUUCAAGGCCGAAGCAACAUGCAAUGGAUGUUCCCAAACCGGAGAAGUUUAAGGGUGCACGAUCCGCGAGGGAUGUGGACAACUUCUUGUGGGAAAUGGAGCAAUACUUCCGAGCGAUGGGCAUCGAGGAUGAUGGCAUUAAGGUAAACACUGCUUCGAUUUACUUUUCUGAUGUUGCUCUCUUGUGGUGGCGGCGUAGGUCCACGGAUGAGAAACCUGGAGGAACGGCUAUUGGAACUUGGGAGGAGUUUCAAGGAGAAUUGAAGAAGCAGUUUUACCCUCAAUAUGCCGAGAAGGAGGCUCGGGCUAAAUUGCGUCGUCUCACGCAACAAGACACUGUUCGGGAGUAUGUGCGGGCAUUUAGUGAGUUGAUGCUUCAAAUCUCCGACUUGAGCGAGAAAGAAGCAUUCUAUUGGUUCGAGGAUGGGUUAAAGCCGUGGGCAAAGCAGGAGUUGCGAAGGCAAGGAAUCACCGAACUUACUGUAGCCAUGGCCGAAGCAGAGUCCUUUGUUGAGUUUGAUCCGGCGGGAGACAAGCUUGAGGCAUCUAAGCCCAAUGGAAGGGGCAAUGGUGAGAGAAACCAUGAAGAAGAUGAAAGGGGACAUAGCGAUGGGGGCAACAGUACUGAUAGCACAAGUGGCAAUGGGAAACCACGAGAUGCGAAGCGGGGAUUAGACAACCCAAGGGACAAGAGGAAGAAGAUGAAAUGCUUCCUUUGUCAAGGACCACACAUGGCGCGUAAAUGUCCAAAUAAAGUGAUGAUUUCGGCAAAGAAUGAUGAGCCGAAGGAGGAGGCGAAGCCUACCGAGGGAAACACAUCGAAAGUCAAUUCGAUGGUGCUCAUUCCUGGGAAGAGGAAUGGAAAUGGGUUGAUGUUUGUGGACGUCAACAUUGCGGGUCAGAAGCGGAGUGCUUUUAUUGAUACGGGAGCAUCAGACUUGUUCAUUUCGGAAAAGGCUGCGAAGAAGCUUGGUCUGUCGAUUAGGAAAUCGAAUAAGAAGAUCAAGGUAGCAACUUCUGAGAAAGCCCCAACUGUGGGAGUAGUUCGUGAUGUGGAACUACAAAUCGGCGAAUGGAAGAGCAAGGAAGAAUUCGAGGUAAUCCAAUUAGAUGAUUACGAUUUUGUGCUUGGCUUAAACUUCCUUGUCAAGAUUCAGGCAACUCUGCAACUAGGGGCCGAUCAAAUCCAUAUUGCCACCGGUCUAUCAACAAAGAGUAUUGUGCCGGUGCAUCGGGAUGUGAAAGUUGGGACUAAGGUGUUAUCGUCAAUCCAACUAGUCGAAGAUGUUCCGUAUGGGAGAAACAUUAAAUCGGCAAAACGGAAUGCUACGAAAGCCUCUUCGGAAGUGUUAGUGGCGCAAGGGACCGAUAUGAAGCCUGCGGGAUCGACUGUGGAGCUGACACCUUUGGGAAAGGUGGGUUGUGCAUCGGGCUUCAAGGGAAAAGGAGCGAUGCAAGGACAGUCGAGACGAGUAAAUGCUACGAGUAAGGUGCAUUGCAAACACUCUGAUAGUGUUUUGAAUUCUGACUUGUUGGCUUGGCAAGGUCGUAGGGGCCCUUUCAAAGUUCAUAAGCGAGGAGGCCAAGGAACUGUGGGCGGUACGAAGCCGAGGUAUGAGAAUCGAGGGGAUUCCAACAGAAACAAGUCAAAAUUGGGGCAAGUUAAAGCGGAGACUACUUGCCAACAGAAUGUACCAACGAGUGGAACGGUUCAAGAUAAGAGGCGACGGAAGUCGAGGCAUAAGUUCCGAAGGAAGGGACAACCUGAUCGCAAGACGAGUCAGGAAGAAGCCGAGGCAAUGAAAGAGUUUCACAGUGAAUCAAGUCAGUGUCAUCCAGAAAACGCAACGAGGGCGUUGCGAGAUUGGGUAGGGGAGAAUGUCACGGGCCAAAGUGAAAAACCCGUGACCAUGCCGCAAGUAGCGCCCCAUGGAGGUCUAUCGAUUAGAUGGGGGACAUUCAGCCCACAAGAACUGGCCCGAUUCAAAGAGCUACUAAAGAAGCCUAUCAGAUUGAAGCCUGGUUGGCCCAAUGAUGAAGACAUGGCAACUUAGGCAAUUUUGGUAACUAAUCUUAGAAGAUAGAAUAGAAUCAUAUCUUGUAAGAUUAGAUUAGAUUUGAUAAGGUAAAUCUUGUAAAUCCCUAAAAUCAAGGGAUAUAGUGAAUCUCAUCCGUCGAUGUACAUGUAUCUUGACCGUCGGUUUUGGGGGAGCUCAACUAUAAAUAGAGAGCCUCCCCCUCAUUUGUAAAUCAUCCAUUGUAACUUGAAUUCUUAAGAGUAAUAGAAUUCUUGAGCAUUUACUCAAACACUUUGUGUGCUUUCUUUCUUUAGCUUUCUGUUGUUCUCUUGUGGCUUCUUUUGGCACAAUCGCUUCCGCUAUAUAAAUUGGUGCCUUGGAGGAGUUCUAAAAGAAUCCUCUCUUUUGAAAGUUAAGGCUGACUUGGGUGAGUUUGGACGAACGAAUCGCCUAAGGCCGCACGGAUUGCGAGACGAAAGGUCUAGCCCCGUGACACUUAUACAUACUUAAAUAUAUUUUUCAUAUUUCAUAAUUCUUAUAUACUUACAUAUAUCUAUGCAUAUUUUACAUCAUAUAUAUACUUAUAUAUAUUCUUUAUAUUCUUAAAAAUGCUUUUUGUGUAUUUCACAUAUUUUAUAAUUCACAUACAUAUAUUUUACAUUAUCACGAUUUGUAAAUAUAUAUAAACACAUAUUUACAUUUUUAUUUUUAUAAUACUUACCGAUUUUUUAUAUAUGUAUAUAUUUAUCUAUGUUUUCAUAUUCUAUAAUUUAUAUGCAUUUCUUAUUUUAUGGCUUAAAAUUAUACAUGCAUAUACAUUUUUACAUAAUUGUAUUUAUUGUCAUCAUUGUUAUUUGGCAUUUGUUUAUUUAUUCAUGUACACUUGUGCUUUUUCUAAAAUGUUAGUUCUAUUUAUUUAUUUGUAUGCUUUGUUUAUGUAAUCGCCUCGUCAUUUCAUUUUGCCUAUUGUAUUGUUGUUACUCACUUUACUUUGCUCACCUUGUCGUAUUCGUUGUUGUUUUGUCAAGCAUUGACACUAAACAUCAAAAGGAAAAUUUUUCUAAAUGAGGCAAUAUUUCGCGUUUGGAAAAUCGAGAAAACGUGCCCUAACGUGCUGGGUUUCGAUUCCUCGUUCGACUAAAUAGCCAAAUAUCCUCUUAAAGCUUCAAAGUAUGGUUUCAUUAAACUAUAAGGUGAUCUUGGUUUCGAUGGUUUAGAGUAUCGUGUCCUAACGUGGUGGAUGUGAUAUUCCUUCGGAACAAGAGAAUCUUAUAUUUCAAUUCACGUUAUCAGAGUUUCUUUUAAGGAUCGUAUUUUUAAAACUCUUCAAAUUUUUAAUUUUCGACACUAAGACACUGAUUAAUCAACUAGGUACCAAUUUUGGGCGUAUCGAGGGUGCUAAUCCUUCCUCGUGCGUAACCGACUCCCGAACCCAUUUUUCUUUUUUUGAAUUUCAUAGACCAAAAUCUUUGUUUUAAUAAAAAUUAAGUCGUUUAUUAAAAACAACAACUUUUCGAGGUGACCCGAUCACACCUUAUCAAAAAAGAUUGGUGGCGACUUCCGUUUUCAUGCUAUUUUCAAAAUCCAAGUCGACCCUGUUUUCAUCCAAAAAAUGGUGUCAACAAAGGGUUUGCUAGGAAAAUAUUUGUAAAUUUUGACUGAUUUAAUUAUAUGUUUCAGGUGAAAUUCCUCCUGUUAUUGAAAACUUGAGUUCUCUCAAAGAACUUUAUCUUGAGAAUAACAAAUUGACAGGUAUAGUUUCAUGUAUCUUUUCUUCUCUUUUUUGUUAUUAAGAUUAUGCAAUCUUUUAAAGUAAUUAAAAUAAAAAGUCACUUAAAAGAUUAAAACGGUAAAGUCAUUAUUAUGCUCAACAAAUAAAUAAAUGGAGAAAUCCCAUCAUGGUUUGGUUGCUUCACUGAACUUCAAGGCUUAUUUUUAUACCUUAACAACUUCAUUGGUGUUAUCCCAUCUACUCUAGGCAAUUUGUCAAAACUAGAAAAGUUGAACUUGUUUAGCAACAAUUUAGAAGGGAAGUUUCCUGUAACGAAUGGAAAUCUUUCAAACUUGAAAGAGUUAUAUCUUGACAACACGUCUCUUUCAGGUUUUAUGUCUUUGUUGAUCUUGAUUAUAUUCUCAUUAAUAAAAUAUUAGAUUAUAAUUAAUAAUGCUCUCAUUGCAAGUAAUCUUUCAUCAUGAAUAUUUGAUAAUCUUUAUAAAUUACAAGUACUAUUUUUAAAAUCGAAUCAAAUUUCCGGAAAAAUUCCAAAUAGCAUAUUCAAGUGUAAAGAACUGUGGGCUUUAUCAUUAUAUAACAACUCUUUAGGGGGAAGUUUGCCUUUAGAAAUUGGGAAUUUGACUGUUCUCCAACAGUUGUUUCUUGGUUUCAACAACCUCAUAGGUAAAUAAAUCCUCAUUAUCAUGAAACUUAGUUGUAGUGUAAAUCUUUAUUCGUUUUAUGUUAAUUGAGCCAUCAACCAAUUACCUGAUGUAAAAGUAAAGGCUGCUUGCUUUAGGAGUUCGUUUGUAAUUUUCUUUCCUAUUUUGACAUGCCUCUGUAUUUAGUAUCUCAUGUUUUACUAACCGCUUUGGUUAAACAUUUUAUUUGGUCAAGAAAAAAAAAUUAAGGCAACUUCUCUAAAUCACAAAUCUUGCUUUUAUAAUAUUAUAAAGCGAGUUACUUCCAUAAAAGUAGAAAUCUGACUUGCAAUCAGAUGUAUGGACCAAUGAACCAAUCAAAGAUGACCAGUGUUUCCCAAAUUCAGUCUUGUAUUUUAAGGCUUUCCGUUUGUAAUUAAUAUAUUUUUUGCCACUUUGCUUUGGCCCUCCUCACUUGUCUCUUUUUCUUACAACUUUUUUAUUUAUUUAUUAUAUUGGUGUAGUUUAUUUAAGCUUGUUUAGUUUUUAGUUUCCUACUAUAAUAAUACUUCUGACUCCGAAAAACAUUUGAUACUUUAGUUACUAGAACUUGGUCCAUGAGAAAAAUCUUAUAAUUUCACUUUAAAUUUACAAAUUUUUCUAAAAAUCUCAAACUAUGUAAAUGGUCAAAAGUUCAAUUGUGUUUGAGUAUUUAUUAAAAUUUCUCUAUAUCCUGAGUUACUUCUAAGUUAGGUAUCUACAUUAAACAUAAAUUUUAAAAAGUACACACACAAAGAUAACAUAAUUCUAGCACCAAGUUAUUCUGACCAACUUAUUUAUAUUUUUAGGUAAAAUCUCAUCAACUAUUGAAAAUUUGACCACUCUCGAAGUUCUUGAUCUUUCCAAUAACAGCUUAUCAGGUACAAUAUCAUUUUUUUUCUUUUUGUUGUUACAUUUAUGCAAUCUAUUAUAUAUUAUUAAUUAGCUUUUGGCUUAAAAAUACAUUCAAUACUUUAACCAUUUUAACAUAAGAAAAAUAUAGGAAAUAUUGGUACAAGUAAAAAGAGAGCAAUAAUUUGAAUUACAAACUAUUGAACUUUAAUGAUGGAAAUCUGAAUAAUUUGAAUAUUGAACUUAAAAGAAUCCACAUAAAAUCUAAAAUAUAUUGGUUUUUUUUUUACUUGAAAUCAUCUAAAAGAUUUACUGUUUAUGUAUUAAUAAAAUAAGUAAUAUGUGGAUUUUUUAUAUAUAUGAAACUUAAUAUUUAAUAAUUUAUAUAUAAAAAUAAUGUCUAGUGACAGUAAAUAAAAUGAGAUAUGCAAAAAUAAAUAUGUAAUGAAUGUAUUGUUUGCCACUUUGCCUUCACCCUCGUCACUUGUCUCUUUCUCUGGGAGACUAUGACCGUCUUUUACUUGUAAAAGAAUAUUGGAGUUUUUUUUUUCUUAUAUAUUUAUAGAAUAUUGAACAUUAGUUGUGAGUAUUUUAAGGCUUUCCCUGUUUUGGGGUUGUAGCCCAAUAAUUGUGGCUAUUUCUUACUCAAUUGGUCAGAUUCUAUGCCUUAAUCCAUAGAAUCAAAGUAUUUAUAGAAGUUUGAACAUUAGAUAAGUAAUAAACUCAACUAUUUCCCUCCUCUCUAGAUAGUCUUAUCCCCUACCUAAUUUCACCGUUAAUCAAAUGAACCUUGCAGCACUAAAAUCUCAUAGAUUACUUUUACUUAUGUUUGCAAUUAAAUUGAGGUAACUUGUAAAUUCAAACAUCACAACUCUUGAUGUAUUAGGGAUGGAUUUCACAAACACCAUACCAUCUCAACUGGAAAUCUUCUUUCCUUGCCAAACUCAACAUUUGUAACAAUAGUUUCUAUGUUUGUUACCCAUUGAGUAAACUAAUUUGCAUCGGUUAGAAUAUUUCAACUUUGGUAACAAUAAUUUCUGAAAUUUAAAAGCUUGUAUUUGUAUAGUAACAACUUCACUAGUGUUAUCCUUAUCUACCCUAAGCAAUUUGUCAAAACUAGGUAACAAUAUUACCGUUGUAGGUCAUCUACCGUCAGAAAUAUUUGAUAACCUAUCUAAAUUGCAAAUCUUAAAGAUGAAGGCAAUAAGAUUUCGGGUAGAAUUCCAAAUAGUUUAAUCUAGUGCAAAGAGUUGACAUUUUUAUCAUUGUAUAACAACUCUUUGGAUGGAAGUAUCCCUAUGGAAAUUGGAAAUUUUACAUAAUAAUCAAGGGAUGUUGUGCCUACAUCCUUGGAAUGAAAAUUUUAAAUAUAUUGAAGAAUGAUUAAAAGUUAUUAAAUUCAAUUAUUCCUCUCCUUGUGACUUGCCUUAUACCCACACAAAACCUUAUGGUAGAAGUUGGCUUCUUCAUCUUGGCUUUUGAUCCAUCAUUUUUCUUUGGGUUCAUCCACAAUUAUUGUUUGUUCUCAGCUUGAAUUAAUCAAAGUAAUAAUUUUCUUUGUGUUAAAUGAUUUUGAGAUUUUGGGUGAAAUAUUGAUGGUCACUCUUGUUUGUUUUAUAUAUUUCGAAAUUUAGAGAUUGACUUAUCAAGAGAAGAUGAUGAUGAUGAUGAGUAUUAGUGAAGGAAUAACAAUAAACACAAUCUAAAGAUAAGUUAAAAAAUAUAAGUCAGUAUUUUUUAGAAACAAUCUAAAACUGUUUUUAGCCAUAAGUUCAAUAUAAGAGAAACAGAGUACAUGACUUCUCUCUAAUUACAAAAAAAAUAAAGUGCAUGGGUUCUAUCAUCAAGCUAUUUUGACAAAUUUGAUUAUAUGUUUUACGUGAAAGCCUUUCGGCUAUUAACAACUUGACUACUCUCAAGAUCAUAAAUCUUUCUAAUAAAAACAUAACAAGUAUAAUAUCAUUUCUUAUAACAGUUGAUAUUAAAUAACAAUGAUUUAGAAGGGCAGAUUCCUAUAAUUGCUAGGAAAUUUUCAAGCUUCAUUUGGUUAUAUUUUCAUAAUAAUUCUUAUUCAAGUUCUUACAUGUGUAAAUCUUAAAUAUAUUUUCACCAGUAAAAAAUUAGUUUCAAAACUAGUCAUCUCAUUACAGGCCAUCUACUAUCAAGAUGUUUGAUAACAUUUCUAAAUUGCAAUUAUUAAGCUUGACACAUAAUCAAAUUUCAGUAGAAUUUCAAAUAGCUUAUUCAAGUGUAAAGAGUUGAUGUAUUUAUCAAUGCAUAACAACUCUUUGGAGGGAAUUAUGCCUAUAGAAAUUGGAAACUUGACUAUGCCCUACAACAAGCUCAUUAUCAUGUGAGUUCUUACUAGUUUCUUUACUAUUCAACUCCUCCGUCCCUUUUCACCUAGACUAUAUCUGGGGUCUAGCGAUAUUUUUGGGUUUCUAGUAGUCUAUAUGUGCAGAUAUAUGUGUGUUUGUUGAUUUCUUAGCAAAAAAUUAUAUCAAUACGGGGCUUAUCACUAUUAUAAAUGUUUGGCUUAAAAUGCACAUGUGUUUUUGAUAAUUUGUAGCGAGAGAUAAAUAGCAGUUUAGGGAAACAUAUUGUAUGCAAAAGUAUCAGUUGUUUGACAUUAGCUAAUCACUGCUAACUAAUAAAAGUUUCUAAAAAAAUAUAUAUUUGUUCAGCUUCGAUGAUGUAUAUCCUAUAUUUGAACAAAAAUAUUAAGCGUAAACUAUUUUAUUCCAUCUAAUUUUUAUCGUCAAUUGAGCUAUAAAUUUGAGUAAUAUAAUUAAAAUAUUUUUGGGUUGUCAUAAGUAGUAUAAAACUAAACAAAAUUUGCAUAUUUAAAAAUAGGUAAUUGAAACAGACACUAAUAUGCUCAACAAAUAAAUUAAAGGUUUGCUAGGAAAAUAUUUAUAAUUUUUUACUAAUGUAAUUAUAUGUUUCGGGUGAAAUUCCUCUUGUUAUUGGAAAUUUAACUUCUCUCCAAUCACUUUAUCUUAGCAAUAGCAAAUUGACAAGUAUAAUUUCAUGUUUCUUUUAGUCUCCUUUUUGUUAUUAAAUUUAUGCAAUCUUUUUUAGUAAAUAAAAUAAAAGUUACCUAAAAAAUAUUAAAACCUUAGAGUCAUUAUUAUGCAUUUAGAAAAUGUAAGAUGUUUUGAAGUAAAUUAACCAAUCAUUUCAUCAUAAAAAGGAUUAUAUGGAACAAUUACUUCACAUUUGCAUAUGUUACUUCUAUUCAAAUUAUAUCACCUCAUCAUACUUUUAAAAAAUGUCAAACUUUUUGUAGUAUUUCUAACUCAAUCAAUAUAUAUUCUAUAUAUAUAUAUAUAUAUGUAAGCCUCAACUUCAAAACUAAAAAAAAUGAUUGAUUAAAAUAUCUUUUUGAAUUAAAAUAUGUAAUUUUAUUAAAAUAUUAAAAUAUAAUAUAUAAUUAAACUCUACUAAAGUUUUAGUUUAAUAUUUUCAUUAUUAGACAGCUUAAAAUUAUUAAACUCUUUCAAAUAAUAUAUUUCUUAAUACAAAUAAGACUCAAAUAUAUUAUGGGACCAAUGUAUCUAAUCAUUUUCUACAAUUAUGAAUUUUGUGAUUUGUUAUUUUUUGUGUUUAGUGCUUGACAUUUUUAUUUUUUUGGAUGUUUUAUGUUAAUUGAGCCAUCAACCAAUUACUGUAAAAGUAAAGGCUGCUUGCUUUAGGAGUUCGUUUGUAAUUUUCUUUCGUAUUUGGACAUGUGUCUGUAUUUAGUAUCUCAUGUUUUACUAACCGCUUUGGCUAAAUAUUUUAUUCGGUCGAGAAAAAUAAAUUAAGACAACUUCUCUAAAUCACAAAUCUUGCUUUUAUAAUAUUCUAAAGCGAGUUACUUCCAUAAAAGUUAAAAGUAUUGAAUGUAUAAUUUAACUAUUUUACCACUCAGCCAGGGGGGGGGGCAGGCAUGGGCCCGGCCCCCCCUAAAAUGGGAAAUUUUAAUUUAGGUCCUUUAGAUUUUUUUAAAAUUUUAAAUUAGUAAAGGUAAAAUUACACUUUGGCCCCCCUAAAAUUAUAAAAAUUCAAUUUAAUCCUUUAAAAAUUAUAAAUAUAUAGACUAUAAAAAAUUAAAAUUUCCUUCGGCCCCCCUAAAAAUUUUUUUCUGGCUUCGCCCCUGCACUCAGCUAAAACUUCAUUUUAAUAUUUCUAAAAUUGUAAUUUUCACACACACAAAUUAAUAAAAUUUCUAGUAUAUUAUUAAUUAGCUUAUAAUAUUUUAAAAUAAUACUUUUGGAUGAAAGGAAAAAAAAUAAUGACGCAUGUGAUACUUAACAACUUUUAAGGUGAGAAAAAUAUAAGAAAUAAUGGUAAAAAGAAAUUUAAUAAUUUAAAUAAAAAAUUACAUGACUUAAAAGAUCCAGACCUAAAUAAUUUGAAUGUUAAAUAAAACCAGAUUCAAAUUAAAAAUAUUUAAAAUUAUUUAAAUUGAUGUAACCAAAAUUGUUUGGAUUCACUGUUUAUAAGUUACUAAUUGAAGUAAUUAAUAUAAAUGGAUUUUGCAUGUAUCACAUUUAAUAUUUAAUAUUUUUAAUUUAAUUAAUGAAAAAGGACUUCACGUUAGUGUAUUACAUCAAAUUAUUAUGUUACAUAAUCAUACCUUUAAAAAAAUGGUCUAAGUAGUUAUUUUAUUAAAGUAAUAAUUUUGUGUGUUUGAUGAUUUUGAGAUUUUGGAUGGUAUAUUGAUGGUUACAAUUGUGUGGUAAAAUUUUCAAAAAGAUAUGUGUAUAUAUUCAAACAUGUAUCCAUAUAUCUUGUUUGUUUCAUAUAUUUCAAAACUUAGAAUUGAGUUAACAAGAAAGAUGAUGAUUAGUAUUAGUGAAGAAGGUGUUCAACAAUAAACUAAAGAUAAGUCAAAGAUCAAAAAUUUAAGAUUUGAUAGAAAAAAAAAUCCGAAACUAUGAAUCUUUACCUUAUUAUUUAUUUGCUUAAUUAAUCUUUGCUCAGGCAUAGUUCCUAUUAUUUAGGUGUUGAAUAGGAAAGAAACAGAGUACAUGAGUUCUAGCUUUGAUUAGAGUACAUAGUUCAUAUUAUAUGAUUCAGACUUAUACCUACCCGCAUUAAAACUAAGUUCUGUUUUAAAAAUAAUAAUAAAUUUUGAUGAUUUUGAUUAUAUGUUUUAGGUGAAAUUUCUUUUAUUGGAAAUUUUACUUCCCUCGUCUACAUCAAUCUUGAUGGUAACUACUUAACAGGUAUAAUAUCAUUUUCAUUCUCCUUUUUGCUGUUACAGUUUUUCAAUCUCUUACUAGUUAAUUAUAAUAGAAUUUUGCUAUGUUUUACUAAUUAGCUUUACUAUCUUUUAACGUCGGACUAUAAUACUUUUUGCUUAGAGAACAAUUAAUUACACAUCUAAUCCUUUAAAUACUUUGAAAUAAGAAAAAUGUUGACACAUUGGUAUAAUAAAAAUAUCAAUAAUUUGAAUUACAAAUUACUUAAAUAUCUAAUCCACGAUUGGCAACACGUUCCUGAUCUAAAAUAAUAUAUUCAUCCAAUUAACUAAAUUAACAGCAAAAUUUAGUCAUUUAUGCGAUUAAAAUCCUUUUUUGAAAUUUUACAAAAUUGUCUUUAACUUUUUACUUUUAUUCAAUUUAGUCCCUAAGCCCCAAACAUGCAAUUUAACCACUUUUUCAUAAAAAUCAAUUCAACCGAAUCAUCUAAGAGCUCAUAACAGUUUGUAAUUAUUUUACCUCAAGUACAAGUAAAUUUAUCAUUUUAACAAUUUAGUCCUUAAACAUUAAAAUUACCAAAAAAUCACUUUCCAAAAUAAUCUAAUCUAUCAACAAAGCUUCAUAUUCCACCAAAAACUUUAAGAAAUGACUUAAUUCAUCAAUGUUAACAUUUAUAACAUUUAACUAUUUUACAAAUUAGUCCUCAGGUUAGCUAGAGUAAAUUAAUAUGAGCUCAAAAACAUAAAAAUUACUAAAAGCAAGCUAAGAUUCACUUACAAUUUAAGGCUUCAAAAUUGAAAAUAUGGAAACCCUAGUUCCCUUAGUGCCGUCGAGAAGAUGAGUGAAAUGAAAUAAAAAAUAUAUAAUCUUUAUUUUACUUUAGUUUAAUAUAUAUACUUAGUUUUUUUUUGUAAUUUUCAAGUCUUUCAUAAUUAAGCUUUAAUUAAUUACUAUUAACCUUAAUUAAUUUUGUCCAUAUAUAUAAAUAAUCAUGUUAAUACAUUAAUUUUACUUCUACUGGUUAAAUUAUUCAUUUAGUUCCUUUAAUGAAAUAAAUUCAACUUUUGCUAUUCAGUCCUUUUUACUUAAUAAACUAUCUAGUUGAUAAAAUUUCCUAACUAAAAUUUAAUACGACUUUAAAGACCUCAUAAAUAUUAUUUAUUAUAAUAUUUACGGACUAUUACAUCGGAAUUAUGAUAUCAAAAUCACUAUUUUUGACACUACUGAAAAUCGAGCUAUUAUAACACCACAAGAAAUAAAUAUAAAAAAAUAAAUAAUCGAAGAAAAAAAUUAUUAUUAUUAUUAAAAAAAUAGAAAAGAAAAAUAUAUAUGAUUUUAUGUUCUAUGCCUCGCCUCCCUUCCAUUCUCCAUAUACACUUGUGUGUAUAUAUAUAUAAAAUAAAGCGGAGAAUGAGAGGGAGACGGAAGGCGCAUAAUACAAUCAUAUUUCAUAUUAUACUAAUAAAAGGCUAAUAGCUAAAGAAGAUGGCUCACGCCUCCUCACUUUCUAACUUAUAUGUGUACUAAACCUACAAAGAAAGGAUUUCAUGCUCCCCUUUCACGCAUGUAUAAGUUUAUAUAAUAACUAACAAACCCUAAAAUAAGAAGAGAUAAGUUUCUAAAAUUUUGGUGUUGUCUCAUGUCAAAUAUUUCUUACAAUUCUUAUAUUCUUUUUUUUUCAAUAUAUCGGAAAAUAAUUGUAUUUAUAGAGAAAUUAGUCGGUUAAGUGUUACAUUUAAGUAAAAUUCGUAUCUAAAGUUAAUUAAAAUAAAUAAUAAAAAUAUGUCAGUUACGUGCAUUAUCAAAAUCCAUUCACUUAGCCAAUACUUUCUCUCAAGCAUUUCAUGCAUUUAUCAAUCCGAACAUAUCACAAUCGUUCAAGUUAUUUCAAACACUCACUUAGCCAAUAUUUUUUUUAUUUUUUAAAAUUAAAAAUUAUUAAUUGGUGACAUGACAUCUACGUGUAUGUCGCGUCAAAAAAAUUAAUAGAAGUGUUAACUAUAUUAAGUAUUUUAUUAAGUAAAUUUAUUUGAUGAUUAAAUUUUACAUUAAAAUAAUUUAAGAUUAGAAUUUUAAUUUGCUGCCCUUUUGAAUUGAAAAAAAUAUUGAAUCACCUACCCUUUAGAUUUACCUUAUUAUUAAUGUGUUGAAUUAACUGUUGCUCGCCAUGCAAAAUUGAUAUUAUGGAAUAGGAGAGAUAUAGAGUACAUAAAUUUUUUUAGCUUUGAUUACAGACUACAUUGUUGAUAUUAUAUGUUCCAGAUUUAUAAAAAAAAAAAAAAAAAAACUUAGUAAAUUUUGAUGAUUUUAAUUAUAUAUUUUAAAUGAAAUUAUAUCAGUUAUCAGUAACUACUUUGGAGUUAGAAAAUUGUAAGAAGAUUGGUAUAAUAAAAUAUCAAUAAUUUGAAUAACAAAUUAAUUAAAUUCAGUAUACCAAAUAUGAUAAUUUGAAUAUUAAACUGGUUUGCACCUCUACUCUACACUCAACCAAAUUUAACAUAAUUUAUUAUGAUAAAAAAAACUAUUUAUUAUGCUAUAAUUUAGGCUCCAAAAAAUGUUAACUCAUAAAAAAACAUUGUCAAGACCCAAGACAGGAGUUAGAAUGAAUAUUUAUAUCUUUUUAUAUUUUUAUAUUUUUCAUUUUAAAUUUAUAUUUUCAGUUGAGAAUUUCAUAACACUAUAACAACAAAAGGUUAGAUGUUGUGAAAUAAACUAAUAAUUCAUUUUAUACACUUCAUCCAUGUGUAUAUAUUGCAAAUCUUAUUUAUUUACAUUUUUUGUUCCAAAUAAAGUUGAAUUUAUAAAUAUUAUUUUAUUUAGAAAAAAGUAUGAAUAUUAUUGUGUCUUAUAUUUAAAAUAUUAUUAUAUUAUUUUUUCAGUAAAGAUUUUUAUAUAAAAAUAUAAACAAGAUAGAAAUACCCUCAAAUAGGGGCAUAGCUACUAGCUAGGGACUGGUAGGGACCCCAGUCCCCCUAAAAUAGAAAAAUAUUCAUUUAAGCUUUUUAAUUAUUUUAAAAUUUUAAAUUAGUAAAAGUAAAAUUGCACUUUGCCCCUUAAAUAUGAUAAAUAUUUGAUUUAAUCCUUUAAAAUUAUAAAGAUAUAUAAGGUAUUAAAAUGGUGAAAUUAUUUUUACUAUAGUAAAUUACAAUUUAAUUUCGACCCCUAAAAAUUUCUUUUUAUAUCUUGUCAUAUAAACUUAAAAUUUAUAUUUUAAAUUCUUUCAUUUUCAUUUUUUUUUCUUUUAAGCCAUUUUUUGUACUUCUUUUUCAUUAAUUACGUAUAGAUAUUCUAAUUACCUUAAAUUUAUAAAUACAAAAAAUUAUUAUUCUCAACUUGGCAGCAUUGCUAACCCAACCAAAUUAUUUGUGUAAACAAUAUAUAUAUAAACAAACAUGCAAAGUCUCUUGAAUUAAUGAAAAUGAUAAUGAGUAUUGACUAUUUUUCUAUUUUUCCAUAGCAAAAAUUUUUACUAUUAAUACAAUUUUAUCAUUUAUAAGUAAGACUUCUAAUUUCACUAAAAGUAUUUUUAUUAAGAAAAUUUAUUUAAAAAAAUAAUAAAAAAAUUUAUUUAAAUUAUUAAGCUUAUAGUGCUCAAAUUAAAAGCAAUAUAUAUAUAUAUAUAUAUAUAUAUAUAUAUAAGAGAAGCUUAUAGUGCUAAAAAAGAGAGAGUAAAGGUUACUUAAAAAUUAUUAGUAAACUUACAAAGAUUUAAUUAUAUGUUUCUAGUGAAAUUCCUUAAGUUAUGUUUAUCUCUUUUAUAACAAAUUGUUAAGUAUAGUUUCACUUUUUUCUAUUUUUUAUACAUUUAUGCAAACCCUUUUUAUUGUUAAAUAAUAGAAAUAAAAAUUUCUUUAGAAGAUAGUAGUAGUUUCCUUGGAUAUAUUACAACCUAAAAGUUAUUUUCAUGCAUCUAAAAAUAGUUAGAGGUAGUCUAGUAAAUUAACCAAUUAUUUUUAUUGCUUAUACACAUGUUACAUGUAUUACAUCAAAAAUAUAAUUUUACAUUUUUUGUUCCGAAGAAUCUUCAAACCCCUAAUUCUAACUCUAUUUCAAUUGUAUCUUCAAAGGCGAAUUCAAACACUACCACCUUCAUUGCAAUGGUUUGAAGUUUCAUAUAAUAAUUUAAUUAGAAAAAUCCCUUCCUCAAUAAACAAUUUGACUUCUCUUAUGGAUCUUAGUCUAUCUAAGAAUAAUUUGGAUGGAACAAUUCUAGAUUGCAUUGGAAACAUGAGUUCUUUAGAAAGUAGUAUAGCAAUUUCCUUCAGUAGAUUAUAAUCUAAAAAUGGUUAGUAGUAGUGCAUCAUAAAUAUAGUUAUUUUACAAUUUUUGUUUCAAAGAAUCUUCAAACCCCUAAUUCUAACUCUAUUCCAUUUUUAUCUCCUAGGGAGAAUCCCAACACCACCACCUUCAUUGCAAUGGUAUGGAGUGUCAUACAAUAACUUAAUUGGAGAAAUCCCUUCCUCAAUAUGCAAUUUGACUUCUCUUAUGGGUUUCUUUCUGUCUGAGAAUAAUUUGGAAGGAACAAUUCCAGAGUGUUUUAGAAACUUGAGUU
RNAcentral lists this long non-coding RNA (42897 nucleotides) under Gossypium barbadense (sea-island cotton). RNAcentral's name for it is "long non-coding RNA (GBAR_LNC022939)". The record is from RNAcentral. Lineage: Eukaryota; Viridiplantae; Streptophyta; Magnoliopsida; Malvales; Malvaceae.